ACGCUGGCGGCAGGCCUAACACAUGCAAGUCGAGCGGCAGCGACUUAACUGAACCUUCGGGGAACGUUAAGGGCGGCGAGCGGCGGACGGGUGAGUAAUGCCUGGGAAUAUGCCCUGAUGUGGGGGAUAACUAUUGGAAACGAUAGCUAAUACCGCAUAAUCUCUUCGGAGCAAAGAGGGGGACCUUCGGGCCUCUCGCGUCAGGAUUAGCCCAGGUGGGAUUAGCUUGUUGGUGAGGUAAUGGCUCACCAAGGCAACGAUCCCUAGCUGGUCUGAGAGGAUGAUCAGCCACACUGGAACUGAGACACGGUCCAGACUCCUACGGGAGGCAGCAGUGGGGAAUAUUGCACAAUGGGGGAAACCCUGAUGCAGCCAUGCCGCGUGUGUGAAGAAGGCCUUCGGGUUGUAAAGCACUUUCAGUAGGGAGGAAGGUAGUGUAGUUAACACCUGCAYUAUUUGACGUUACCUACAGAAGAAGCACCGGCUAACUCCGUGCCAGCAGCCGCGGUAAUACGGAGGGUGCGAGCGUUAAUCGGAAUUACUGGGCGUAAAGCGCAUGCAGGCGGCCUGUUAAGUCAGAUGUGAAAGCCCGGGGCUUAACCUCGGAAUUGCAUUUGAAACUGGCAGGCUAGAGUCUUGUAGAGGGGGGUAGAAUUUCAGGUGUAGCGGUGAAAUGCGUAGAGAUCUGAAGGAAUACCAGUGGCGAAGGCGGCCCCCUGGACA
RNAcentral lists this ribosomal RNA (723 nucleotides) under Vibrio sp. 12H05. RNAcentral describes it as "bacterial SSU rRNA". It matches the Rfam family "Bacterial small subunit ribosomal RNA", at positions 33 to 735 of the family's 1533-position model. The record is from RNAcentral. Lineage: Bacteria; Pseudomonadati; Pseudomonadota; Gammaproteobacteria; Vibrionales; Vibrionaceae.